This 633-nucleotide long non-coding RNA is filed under the name Capra hircus (goat). RNAcentral describes it as "lncRNA (ENSCHIG00000001021.1)". The record is from RNAcentral. Lineage: Eukaryota; Metazoa; Chordata; Mammalia; Artiodactyla; Bovidae.
AUGCCAUUCCCAGGAGAUAGGGAAAGGCCUCCAGGUGCCGGCCCCCGGCCCCAGACAGAGGACCCCUUCUUCAUCUCACCUCUGUGCCCCUGCAAAGUGGAUGCACUGACUUCCUGGUCCUUCUGGCAUCCUCUGGGCCACCAGCCAUGGGCACAGGCCACCCAGCCACUCCAUGUGCACCAAUCGAAGAGGGAGGGAGGCCAUACACCGGUUGAAUGCUUAGUAGGAGACUUCCCACAUCCUCUACAGCAAGCACGCAUCACUCCCAUGACCUGACACAGACAAUGAUUCCAGCACGAGCCCUCUCGUUCCCAAGGCUGAGGGGGAGGAAUUCUUAGACAUCAAGAAGCUGGCCUGUCCUUGUGCUUGGGUUUGAAACAGAGGGGCCUCUUUCUCCGCUGCCUCGGCUGGCGGCUGCUAUGACAUCACCCAUGUGGUGUGUAACUCGAGAAGCGUGUCAGGAAUAGUUGGGACUGAUUGAUCACGCGUGCUGGGGUCCUCUCCCAGCAGCCUUGAGCAGGCCCGGCUGGCAGCUGGCUAUGUCUCUCAGCAGCGCCUGGUCCGGGAGCUGCAUCCUCACCCUAUGGGACAGAGCUCUGCAGAUGAGCAUGGAGGGCUCAUGUUUCAGACCAG